CCUUACCAAAUCUUGACAUCCUUUGACAACUCUAGAGAUAGAGCYUUCGCCUUCGGGGGACAAAGUGACAGGUGGUGCAUGGUUGUCGUCAGCUCGUGUCGUGAGAUGUUGGGUUAAGUCCCGCAACGAGCGCAACCCUUAAGCUUAGUUGCCAUCAUUAAGUUGGGCACUCUUAGUUGACUGCCGGUGACAAACCGGAGCAAGGUGCGGAUGACGUCUAAUCAUCAUGCCCCUUAUGAUUUGGGCUACACACGUGCUACAAUGGACAAUACAAAGGGCAGCGAAACCGCGAGGUCAAGCAAAUCCCAUAAAGUUGUUCUCAGUUCGGAUUGUAGUCUGCAACUCGACUACAUGAAGCUGGAAUCGCUAGUAAUCGUAGAUCAGCAUGCUACGGUGAAUACGUUCCCGGGUCUUGUACACACCGCCC
RNAcentral lists this ribosomal RNA (427 nucleotides) under uncultured Staphylococcus sp. RNAcentral describes it as "bacterial SSU rRNA". It matches the Rfam family "Bacterial small subunit ribosomal RNA", at positions 969 to 1395 of the family's 1533-position model. Lineage: Bacteria; Bacillati; Bacillota; Bacilli; Caryophanales; Staphylococcaceae. The record is from RNAcentral.